This 253-nucleotide ribosomal RNA is filed under the name uncultured bacterium. Its description in RNAcentral is "partial 16S ribosomal RNA". It matches the Rfam family "Bacterial small subunit ribosomal RNA", at positions 524 to 776 of the family's 1533-position model. The record is from RNAcentral.
UACGUAGGGUGCGAGCGUUGUCCGGAAUUAUUGGGCGUAAAGGGCUCGUAGGCGGUUUGUCGCGUCGGGAGUGAAAACCUUGGGCUUAACUCAGGGCUUGCUUUCGAUACGGGCAGACUAGAGGUAUGCAGGGGAGAACGGAAUUCCUGGUGUAGCGGUGAAAUGCGCAGAUAUCAGGAGGAACACCGGUGGCGAAGGCGGUUCUCUGGGCGUGAUCUGACGCUGAGGAGCGAAAGUGUGGGGAGCGAACAGG